Molecule: long non-coding RNA, 491 nt
Organism: Heteronotia binoei (common prickly gecko)
Lineage: Eukaryota; Metazoa; Chordata; Lepidosauria; Squamata; Gekkonidae
Exons: 3
Source: RefSeq, a predicted model, not a curated record
UCCAGUUAGUCUACCUUACUGGAUGUAACAAAGGCUAGUGUUUUUCCCUCUGUCACUUGGGCUUUGCUAUGGCAAACAGUCCUUCUAAUUGCAAAAUGCUUCCUGUGCAUCAGAUCCUGCUCCUUGUUUUCUUCUGCCUAACACCAGGAGCAGAUGCUGUUAGAUGUAUUCACUGCAUACCCAAAGACCGGGAGGGAUCGUGUAAUUUAGGAAUUUGUGAAAUCAAUCCUGUAAAAGAAACUUGCCAUGCCCUAAAAAUGUAUUCAUAUGGGACAUCUAAUGAGCUCAUACUUCAAAACACAUUUCUAGACUGCAGGAGGAAGGAAGAUGCAAAGUGCGGUGUAAAGGGCAAUGUGCCAGGCAAACGUAUCUAUGCUGAACAUGCCUGUUGUGCAGAGGGCACCCUCUGCAAUGGAAAUUUAUAGAUAAAGCUGAAAGCAACCUGAAUAUCCUAAACCCACACAAACAUAUGUAUGCACUACCCAGUUUGC